GGAACAGGGAGUCAUGGAGGGUGAGAACCCCGUCUGUGACUCGGAAACAAGCUCAGAGAAGUGUCGCGGUCUCCAAGAGUCGGGUUGUUUGGGAAUGCAGCUCAAAAUGGGUGGUAAAUGUCAUCUAAAGCUAAAUAUUGGCGAGAGACCGAUAGCAAACAAGUAGAGUGAUCGAAAGAUGAAAAGCACUUUGAAAAGAGAGUGAAACAGUACGUGAAAUUGUUGAAAGGGAAGCGUUUGGCAUCAGCCCAUGGCCUCCGACGAUCAUCCGGGCCUUGUGUCCGGUGCACUUGUCGGGGGUCGGGCCAGCAUCGGCUUCGUCCGUCGGAGAAAGGUCCAGAGGAUGUGGCUCCCUCACGGGAGCGUUAUAACUCUGGGCGUCAUACGACGUGACGGGGCCGAGGUCCACGGUGUUCUCACCCAGGAUGCUGGCGUAAUGGUUCCAAGCGACCCGUCUUGAAACACGGACCAAGGAGUCUAACAUCUAUGCGAGUGUUUGGGUGUCAAGCCCGUCCGCGCAAUGAAAGUGAAUGCAGGCGGGAGCCUUUAGAGGGUGCACC
This 560-nucleotide ribosomal RNA is filed under the name uncultured Archaeorhizomycetes. Its description in RNAcentral is "eukaryotic LSU rRNA". It matches the Rfam family "Eukaryotic large subunit ribosomal RNA", at positions 192 to 759 of the family's 3401-position model. The record is from RNAcentral. Lineage: Eukaryota; Fungi; Ascomycota; Archaeorhizomycetes.